This 506-nucleotide ribosomal RNA is filed under the name uncultured bacterium. RNAcentral's name for it is "partial 16S ribosomal RNA". It matches the Rfam family "Bacterial small subunit ribosomal RNA", at positions 28 to 523 of the family's 1533-position model. The record is from RNAcentral.
GAUGAACGCUAGCUACAGGCUUAACACAUGCAAGUCGAGGGGUAACGAGAGGGAAGCUUGCUUUCCUUGUCGACGACCGGCGCACGGGUGAGUAACGCGUAUCCAACCUGCCCCCAACUAGGGAAUAACCUUGCGAAAGUAAGACUAAUACCCUAUAAUUUCCUCAGAUGUCAUCUGACGAGCAAUAAAGAUUUAUCGGCUGUGGAUGGGGAUGCGUCUGAUUAGCUUGUUGGCGGGGUAACGGCCCACCAAGGCAACGAUCAGUAGGGGUUCUGAGAGGAAGGCCCCCCACAUUGGAACUGAGACACGGUCCAAACUCCUACGGGAGGCAGCAGUGAGGAAUAUUGGUCAAUGGGCGGAAGCCUGAACCAGCCAAGUAGCGUGCAGGAUGACGGCCCUAUGGGUUGUAAACUGCUUUUAUGCAGGAAUAAAGUUAGCCACGUGUGGUUAUUUGUAGGUACUGUAUGAAUAAGGACCGGCUAAUUCCGUGCCAGCAGCCGCGGUAA